This 244-nucleotide long non-coding RNA is filed under the name Anolis carolinensis (green anole). RNAcentral's name for it is "lncRNA (ENSACAG00000042451.1)". The record is from RNAcentral. Lineage: Eukaryota; Metazoa; Chordata; Lepidosauria; Squamata; Anolidae.
AGAGCAGAGAGAACUCGGGAUAUUUCAAAAGCAGCAGAAAGCAGUUACUUUAUCGGGGAAUACCAGAAGGGGAGAUGAGAAGGCCAUUCAAUCAGUUCUGCCAGAAGACCAGACCGGCUAUGUGAAAACUACAAGCUUUUGUUCCUUUUGACUACAGCUGAGAUAGGACUUUGAGGCUUUGGAUUGCGUGUCCUUCUGCUUGUGUCUGGUCUCUAUAAUCAAUUUUAAUUACAGGAAAGGGAAG